AUGAACGCUGGCGGCGUGCCUAAUACAUGCAAGUCGAGCGAACGGACGAGAAGCUUGCUUCUCUGAUGUUAGCGGCGGACGGGUGAGUAACACGUGGAUAACCUACCUAUAAGACUGGGAUAACUUCGGGAAACCGGAGCUAAUACCGGAUAAUAUUUUGAACCGCAUGGUUCAAAAGUGAAAGACGGUCUUGCUGUCACUUAUAGAUGGAUCCGCGCUGCAUUAGCUAGUUGGUAAGGUAACGGCUUACCAAGGCAACGAUGCAUAGCCGACCUGAGAGGGUGAUCGGCCACACUGGAACUGAGACACGGUCCAGACUCCUACGGGAGGCAGCAGUAGGGAAUCUUCCGCAAUGGGCGAAAGCCUCACGGAGCAACGCCGCGUGAGUGAUGAAGGUCUUCGGAUCGUAAAACUCUGUUAUUAGGGAAGAACAUAUGUGUAAGUAACUGUGCACAUCUUGACGGUACCUAAUCAGAAAGCCACGGCUAACUACGUG
Molecule: ribosomal RNA, 496 nt
Filed under: uncultured bacterium
Lineage: Bacteria
Description: partial 16S ribosomal RNA
Rfam family: Bacterial small subunit ribosomal RNA
Source: RNAcentral